RNAcentral lists this long non-coding RNA (1347 nucleotides) under Mus musculus (house mouse). RNAcentral describes it as "long non-coding RNA chr16:91867910-91869257". Lineage: Eukaryota; Metazoa; Chordata; Mammalia; Rodentia; Muridae. The record is from RNAcentral.
CCUUUGUCUCUCAGCUCAGUGUGAGCAGUGCACAGUGCCCUGCUAUAAAGCAAACUGUGUAAGAAAGAUGGGCUUUGAUGUUCAUAAAACAUUGUUAUUUUCUUCCUAGGCUCGAGGGAAAAAGCGCCAGAUAGGGUGGUUUCCAGCAAAUUAUGUCAAACUUCUAAGCCCCGGAACAAGCAAAAUCACCCCAACUGAGCUACCCAAGACCGCAGUGCAGCCAGCAGGUAAGAUGCUCGCAGGCCGUCUGCUCGCGCUCGCUCGGGUCUCUCAUCUAAAGUCUUGUACUGUUUUCACACAUGCUCGUUAGCACUUCUACUUGCUGUCUGUGGCCUCUCUUUGCUGAGCACCACAGAGCCCUCACUGGACUCUGCUGGAGCAGUUGGAAAUGCGUGGCAUUAAAGCCAAGUUUUUCUCUUGACUUCCUUCUAGCUAUUUAUAUUGGGAUUUGGACCAUUGGGUUAGGCAACAGAAAGGGUCUUAAAAAUAAACUUGCUGGGCUCUCAGUAGGUCAAGAGUGAGAGCCGUGGGGGUCUGCUGAUCAUAAUAGUUCUGUGUCAGUUGCUGGGGACAGAGGGGCUCACUGAGCAGGCAGGAUGUUCUGUGUUUUCCUGAGGGUGGGCAAAGGCAGAGCCUGCCAUUGCCUGGCUUGCCUGCUUUCUCAGCUAAGGCAGAGAGUCAGCUGUUCCACUGGCCUGGACAGAGCUCAGGGUAGGAGCAGAGUUCUGGUUUAGUUCUUUAGGCCUCUGUACUCAGUGACAUCUGUGGAGAGCAUGAAGCUUUUGUUCCACCAUCAUCGUGUGAUUGGAUGUGUGUUGUGUACCCCUGUGAAACCAGCUCUAAACUUGCUGUCCCUGCAAGAAACGUCAGGACCUAUGAAUGUGACCGACCUCUGACCCCCAGCUGGUCCUCUUUGCAUGAGCUGAGGCCUUGUGUAGGCUGAGGAGAUGUAGCAGAGCCCUCUCCUGUCAGCCCAUAAGCCCCUCACGAUGGUGGACGCCCCGAGCCAUGUGUGGAAGUGAGUCUGUUCCCUUAGCUGGAGAGUUUGAGAACCUUGAAGCUGCAUACAGGUUGGUAAACAAUGAUAAGACGCCAGGCAGUAAGGGUGGGUCAACCAGUCGUGCAGUCGAAAGAAAAGGAGAAAAGGAAAAUUGAGUGUAGUCCUCUCUGAGACAGGAGGACAGAGAGUCACCUCUUACAGCGCUGGCUUAACUUCCCCCUGAGGCAGGAGCAUGAGAAGAUCAGGUGACAGCUGCACACCAUCUAUAGAAGGGCCAGGUCCAGGGCUGCACGCUCAGUGCCACAGCACACUUGUAUAGUGUACCGGCCCUGGGCUCAGUCUUCACC